RNAcentral lists this ribosomal RNA (766 nucleotides) under Staphylococcus aureus. Its description in RNAcentral is "bacterial SSU rRNA". It matches the Rfam family "Bacterial small subunit ribosomal RNA", at positions 28 to 776 of the family's 1533-position model. The record is from RNAcentral. Lineage: Bacteria; Bacillati; Bacillota; Bacilli; Caryophanales; Staphylococcaceae.
GAUGAACGCUGGCGGCGUGCUUAAUACAUGCAAGUCGAGCGAACGGACGAGAAGCUUGCUUCUCUGAUGUUAGCGGCGGACGGGUGAGUAACACGUGGAUAACCUACCUAUAAGACUGGGAUAACUUCGGGAAACCGGAGCUAAUACCGGAUAAUAUUUUGAACCGCAUGGUUCAAAAGUGAAAGACGGUCUUGCUGUCACUUAUAGAUGGAUCCGCGCUGCAUUAGCUAGUUGGUAAGGUAACGGCUUACCAAGGCAACGAUGCAUAGCCGACCUGAGAGGGUGAUCGGCCACACUGGAACUGAGACGCGGUCCAGACUCCUACGGGAGGCAGCAGUAGGGAAUCUUCCGCAAUGGGCGAAAGCCUGACGGAGCAACGCCGCGUGAGUGAUGAAGGUCUUCGGAUCGUAAAACUCUGUUAUUAGGGAAGAACAUAUGUGUAAGUAACUGUGCACAUCUUGACGGUACCUAAUCAGAAAGCCACGGCUAACUACGUGCCAGCAGCCGCGGUAAUACGUAGGUGGCAAGCGUUAUCCGGAAUUAUUGGGCGUAAAGCGCGCGUAGGCGGUUUUUUAAGUCUGAUGUGAAAGCCCACGGCUCAACCGUGGAGGGUCAUUGGAAACUGGAAAACUUGAGUGCAGAAGAGGAAAGUGGAAUUCCAUGUGUAGCGGUGAAAUGCGCAGAGAUAUGGAGGAACACCAGUGGCGAAGGCGACUUUCUGGUCUGUAACUGACGCUGAUGUGCGAAAGCGUGGGGAUCAAACAGG